GAUGAAGAACGUAGCGAAAUGCGAUACUUGGUGUGAAUUGCAGAAUCCCGUGAACCAUCGAGUCUUUGAACGCAAGUUGCGCCCGAAGCCAUUAGGCCGAGGGCACGCCUGCCUGGGCGUCACACGUCGUUGCCCCCCCAUCUACUCCUUCGGGAUUGCGGGGGGCGGAUGAUGGCCUCCCGUGCGCCUCGUCGCGCGGUUGGCAUAAAUACCAAGUCCUCGGCGACGCACGCCACGACAAUCGGUGGUUGCGAAACCUCGGUUGCCCGUCGUGUGCGGUCGUCGCGCAUCGAGGGCUCGAAAAAAUUGCCGGGCUCCGGCUCGGCUUUCAACGCGACCCCAGGUCAGGCGGGGUUACCCGCUGAAUUUAAGCAUAUCAAUAAGCGGAGG
Molecule: unclassified non-coding RNA, 390 nt
Filed under: soil metagenome
Description: partial contains 5.8S ribosomal RNA, internal transcribed spacer 2, and large subunit ribosomal RNA
Rfam family: 5.8S ribosomal RNA (bases 1-122)
Source: RNAcentral